GAGUAACACGUGGGCAACCUGCCCAAAAGAGGGGGAUAACACUUGGAAACAGGUGCUAAUACCGCAUAACCAUAGUUGCCGCAUGGUAACUAUGUAAAAGGUGGCUAUGCUACCGCUUUUGGAUGGGCCCGCGGCGCAUUAGCUAGUUGGUGGGGUAAAGGCUUACCAAGGCAAUGAUGCGUAGCCGAACUGAGAGGUUGAUCGGCCACAUUGGGACUGAGACACGGCCCAAACUCCUACGGGAGGCAGCAGUAGGGAAUCUUCCACAAUGGGCGAAAGCCUGAUGGAGCAACGCCGCGUGGGUGAAGAAGGUCUUCGGAUCGUAAAACCCUGUUGUUAGAGAAGAAAGUGCGUGAGAGUAACUGUUCACGUUUCGACGGUAUCUAACCAGAAAGCCACGGCUAACUACGUGCCAGCAGCCGCGGUAAUACGUANGUGGCAAGCGUUAUCCGGAUUUAUUGGGCGUAAAGGGAACGCAGGCGGUCUUUUAAGUCUGAUGUGAAAGCCUUCGGCUUAACCGGAGUAGUGCAUUGGAAACUGGGAGACUUGAGUGCAGAAGAGGAGAGUGGAACUCCAUGUGUAGCGGUGAAAUGCGUAGAUAUAUGGAAGAACACCAGUGGCGAAAGCGGCUCUCUGGUCUGUAACUGACGCUGAGGUUCGAAAAGCGUGGGUAGCAAACAGGAUUAGAUC
This 690-nucleotide ribosomal RNA is filed under the name uncultured bacterium. RNAcentral describes it as "bacterial SSU rRNA". It matches the Rfam family "Bacterial small subunit ribosomal RNA", at positions 108 to 784 of the family's 1533-position model. The record is from RNAcentral.